CCAUUAAUUCAGGGCACUCGGGAUUGUUUUGAGUAUUACAGAGCUGAAUGUAAAGACAGGAUUAUGUGUUGUGUCUGCAAUUGCUGCUUCAUGCAAACCCCUGCUGCAGCUGCCUUGUCCCCCUGCUGAUAAGGGCGUGGAUGAAGCCUACCUUGUUGAGGAGACCCUCAGGGUUGAGCAGCUGGAAGAGGUUGAGAUAAGUAAUCUGGAAGGUGCUCCUGUGCAGGUGGAAGAGGAGACAGCUGAAGCUGCUGAAACUGAUGCUGAAGCUUCUGACGCCUUGCCCUUUGCUUGAAGCUC
Molecule: non-coding RNA, 300 nt
Organism: Sturnus vulgaris (Common starling)
Lineage: Eukaryota; Metazoa; Chordata; Aves; Passeriformes; Sturnidae
Source: RefSeq, a predicted model, not a curated record